ACGCCGCGUGAGGGUGAAGGCCUCUGGGCUGUAAACCUCUUUUCUCAAGGAAGAAGAUAGACGGUACUUGAGGAAUAAGCCACGGCUAAUUCCGUGCCAGCAGCCGCGGUAAUACGGGAGUGGCAAGCGUUAUCCGGAAUUAUUGGGCGUAAAGCGUCCGCAGGCGGCCCUUCAAGUCUGCUGUUAAAACGUGGAGCUUAACUCCAUCAUGGCAGUGGAAACUGUUGGGCUUGAGUGUGGUAGGGGCAGAGGGAAUUCCCGGUGUAGCGGUGAAACGCGUAGAUAUCGGGAAGAACACCAGUGGCGAAGGCGCUCUGCUGGGCCAUCACUGACGCUCAUGGACGAAAG
This 348-nucleotide ribosomal RNA is filed under the name uncultured Prochlorococcus sp. RNAcentral describes it as "bacterial SSU rRNA". It matches the Rfam family "Bacterial small subunit ribosomal RNA", at positions 394 to 759 of the family's 1533-position model. The record is from RNAcentral. Lineage: Bacteria; Bacillati; Cyanobacteriota; Cyanophyceae; Synechococcales; Prochlorococcaceae.